RNAcentral lists this ribosomal RNA (255 nucleotides) under uncultured bacterium. RNAcentral describes it as "partial 16S ribosomal RNA". It matches the Rfam family "Bacterial small subunit ribosomal RNA", at positions 15 to 258 of the family's 1533-position model. The record is from RNAcentral.
GAUCCUGGCUCAGGAUGAACGCUAGCUACAGGCUUAACACAUGCAAGUCGAGGGGCAUCAGUUUGGUUUGCUUGCAAACCAAAGCUGGCGACCGGCGCACGGGUGAGUAACACGUAUCCAACCUACCUCAUACUCGGGGAUAGCCUUUCGAAAGAAAGAUUAAUAUCCGAUAGCAUAUAUUUCCCGCAUGGGUUUUUAUAUUAAAGAAAUUUCGGUAUGAGAUGGGGAUGCGUUCCAUUAGUUUGUUGGGGGGGG